UGGCGGAUGGGUGAGUAACGCGUGGGUAACCUGCCUCAUACAGGGGGAUAACAGUUAGAAAUGACUGCUAAUACCGCAUAAGACCACAGUACCGCAUGGUACAGGGGUAAAAACUCCGGUGGUAUGAGAUGGACCCGCGUCUGAUUAGGUAGUUGGUGGGGUAACGGCCUACCAAGCCGACGAUCAGUAGCCGACCUGAGAGGGUGACCGGCCACAUUGGGACUGAGACACGGCCCAA
Molecule: ribosomal RNA, 238 nt
Filed under: uncultured bacterium
Lineage: Bacteria
Description: partial 16S ribosomal RNA
Rfam family: Bacterial small subunit ribosomal RNA
Source: RNAcentral